Molecule: ribosomal RNA, 945 nt
Filed under: uncultured archaeon
Lineage: Archaea
Description: bacterial SSU rRNA
Rfam family: Archaeal small subunit ribosomal RNA
Source: RNAcentral
UUCCGGUUGAUCCUGCCGGACCCCACUGCUAUUGGGAUGGGACUAAGACAUGUUAGUUGAGCGUCUCUAAGCUAUGAUGGAGACGCGGCGCACAGCUCAGUAACACGUGGCUAACCUGCCCUUGGGACAGGGAUAACCCCGGGAAACUGGGGCUAAUACUUGAUAGGUGAGAACUCCUGGAAUGGAUUCUCGCUGAAAGGGCGUCUAGAUCAUGCUUUUAGGCGUCGCCCAAGGAGGGGGCCGCGGCCGAUCAGGUUGUUGGUGAGGUAACGGCUCACCAAGCCUUUAACCGGUACGGGCCGUGAGAGCGGUAGCCCGGAGAUGGGUACUGAGACAAGGGCCCAGGCCCUACGGGGCGCAGCAGUCGCGAAAACUCACCAAUUCACGAAAGUGUGAGUGGGCCAUCCCGAGUGCCGUCCGCUGAGGAUGGCUUUUCCUUAGUGUACAAAGCUGGGGGAAUAAGGAGAGGGCAAGUCUGGUGUCAGCCGCCGCGGUAAUACCAGCUCUCCGAGUGGUGGGGAUGUUUAUUGGGCCUAAAGCAUUCGUAGCCUGCUGGACAAGUCCUCCGUUAAAUCCAACGAUUCAAUCGUUGGGCCGCGGGGGAUACUGUUCGGCUGGGGGGCGGAAGAGGUCGACGGUAUUCUCGGGGUAGGGGUGAAAUCCUAUAAUCCCGGGAGGACCACCAGUGGCGAAGGCUGUCGGCUAGAACGCGCCCGACGGUGAGGGAUGAAAGCUGGGGGAGCGAACCGGAUUAGAUACCCGGGUAGUCCCAGCCGUAAACGAUGCAGGCUAGGUGUUGGCGCGGCUACGUGCCGCUCCAGUGCCGCAGGGAAGCCGUUAAGCCUGCCGCCUGGGAAGUACGGCCGCAAGGCUGAAACUUAAAGGAAUUGGCGGGGGAGCACCACAAGGGGUGAAGCUUGCGGUUUAAUUGGAUUCAACGCCGGG